RNAcentral lists this ribosomal RNA (253 nucleotides) under uncultured bacterium. Its description in RNAcentral is "partial 16S ribosomal RNA". It matches the Rfam family "Bacterial small subunit ribosomal RNA", at positions 524 to 776 of the family's 1533-position model. The record is from RNAcentral.
CACGAACCGUACGAACGUUAUUCGGAAUUACUGGGCUUAAAGGGUUUGUAGGCGGCCUUGUAAGUCAGGUGUGAAAUCCCUCGGCUCAACCGAGGAAUGGCGCUUGAUACUGCAAGGCUUGAGGGAGACAGGGGUAAGCGGAACUGAUGGUGGAGCGGUGAAAUGCGUUGAUAUCAUCAGGAACACCGGUGGCGAAAGCGGCUUACUGGGUCUCUUCUGACGCUGAGGAACGAAAGCUAGGGUAGCGAACGGG